GGCUCAGGACGAACGCUGGCGGCGUGCCUAACACAUGCAAGUCGAGCGAUGAAAUCCUUCGGGAUGGAUUAGCGGCGGACGGGUGAGUAACACGUGGGUAACCUGCCUUGUAGAGGGGGAUAGCCUUCCGAAAGGAAGAUUAAUACCGCAUAACAUCUUUUUAUCGCAUGGUAGAAAGAUCAAAGGAGCAAUCCGCUACAAGAUGGACCCGCGGCGCAUUAGCUAGUUGGUGAGGUAACGGCUCACCGAGGCGACGAUGCGUAGCCGACCUGAGAGGAUGAUCGGCCACAUUGGAACUGAGACACGGUCCAGACUCCUACGGGAGGCAGCAGUGGGGAAUAUUGCGCAAUGGGGGAAACCCUGACGCAGCAACGCCGCGUGAAUGAAGAAGGCCUUAGGGUUGUAGAGUUCUGUUUACGGGGACGAUAAUGACGGUACCCGUGGAGGAAGCCACGGCUAACUACGUGCCAGCAGCGGC
RNAcentral lists this ribosomal RNA (478 nucleotides) under uncultured bacterium. RNAcentral describes it as "bacterial SSU rRNA". It matches the Rfam family "Bacterial small subunit ribosomal RNA", at positions 21 to 518 of the family's 1533-position model. The record is from RNAcentral.